RNAcentral lists this ribosomal RNA (604 nucleotides) under Salmonella enterica. RNAcentral describes it as "partial 23S ribosomal RNA". It matches the Rfam family "Bacterial large subunit ribosomal RNA", at positions 2202 to 2805 of the family's 2925-position model. RNAcentral also lists the same sequence under 1 other name. The record is from RNAcentral. Lineage: Bacteria; Pseudomonadati; Pseudomonadota; Gammaproteobacteria; Enterobacterales; Enterobacteriaceae.
ACCCUUUAAUGUUUGAUGUUCUAACGUGGACCCGUGAUCCGGGUUGCGGACAGUGUCUGGUGGGUAGUUUGACUGGGGCGGUCUCCUCCUAAAGAGUAACGGAGGAGCACGAAGGUUGGCUAAUCCUGGUCGGACAUCAGGAGGUUAGUGCAAUGGCAUAAGCCAGCUUGACUGCGAGCGUGACGGCGCGAGCAGGUGCGAAAGCAGGUCAUAGUGAUCCGGUGGUUCUGAAUGGAAGGGCCAUCGCUCAACGGAUAAAAGGUACUCCGGGGAUAACAGGCUGAUACCGCCCAAGAGUUCAUAUCGACGGCGGUGUUUGGCACCUCGAUGUCGGCUCAUCACAUCCUGGGGCUGAAGUAGGUCCCAAGGGUAUGGCUGUUCGCCAUUUAAAGUGGUACGCGAGCUGGGUUUAGAACGUCGUGAGACAGUUCGGUCCCUAUCUGCCGUGGGCGCUGGAGAACUGAGGGGGGCUGCUCCUAGUACGAGAGGACCGGAGUGGACGCAUCACUGGUGUUCGGGUUGUCAUGCCAAUGGCACUGCCCGGUAGCUAAAUGCGGAAGAGAUAAGUGCUGAAAGCAUCUAAGCACGAAACUUGCCCCGAGAU